GUGCAACUCAGAAAUCGGUGACACAGAUUGGUUUCAUUGUUGGAGGAGUUGUUCCAGGACUUCUUCUUGUCGGCGUCAUCGCAAUUUUGAUUUAUUUGCGUCUGACUUAUAAUAUUCGCUUCACAAAGAAAAGUCAAAAAAGCCAUACAACAGUGUACGAUGAUUUGAGCAGCAGGAACGAAAUAACAAACCGUGUCUACGAUGGAUUGUCAUCGACUUCUCC
Molecule: long non-coding RNA, 223 nt
Organism: Dreissena polymorpha
Lineage: Eukaryota; Metazoa; Mollusca; Bivalvia; Myida; Dreissenidae
Exons: 3
Source: RefSeq, a predicted model, not a curated record